Molecule: ribosomal RNA, 1372 nt
Filed under: uncultured bacterium
Lineage: Bacteria
Description: bacterial SSU rRNA
Rfam family: Bacterial small subunit ribosomal RNA
Source: RNAcentral
GAUGAACGCUGGCGGCGUGCCUAAUACAUGCAAGUCGAGCGAACGGACGAGAAGCUUGCUUCUCUGAUGUUAGCGGCGGACGGGUGAGUAACACGUGGAUAACCUACCUAUAAGACUGGGAUAACUUCGGGAAACCGGAGCUAAUACCGGAUAAUAUUUUGAACCGCAUGGUUCAAAAGUGAAAGACGGUCUUGCUGUCACUUAUAGAUGGAUCCGCGCUGCAUUAGCUAGUUGGUAAGGUAACGGCUUACCAAGGCAACGAUGCAUAGCCGACCUGAGAGGGUGAUCGGCCACACUGGAACUGAGACACGGUCCAGACUCCUACGGGAGGCAGCAGUAGGGAAUCUUCCGCAAUGGGCGAAAGCCUGACGGAGCAACGCCGCGUGAGUGAUGAAGGUCUUCGGAUCGUAAAACUCUGUUAUUGGGGAAGAACAUAUGUGUAAGUAACUGUGCACAUCUUGACGGUACCUAAUCAGAAAGCCACGGCUAACUACGUGCCAGCAGCCGCGGUAAUACGUAGGUGGCAAGCGUUAUCCGGAAUUAUUGGGACGUAAGCGCGCGUAGGCGGUUUUUUAAGUCUGAUGUGAAAGCCCACGGCUCAUCCGUGGAGGGUCAUUGGAAACUGGAAAACUUGAGUGCAGAAGAGGAAAGUGGAAUUCCAUGUGUAGCGGUGAAAUGCGCAGAGAUAUGGAGGAACACCAGUGGCGAAGGCGACUUUCUGGUCUGUAACUGACGCUGAUGUGCGAAAGCGCGGGGAUCAAACAGGAUUAGAUACCCUGGUAGUCCACGCCGUAAACGAUGAGUGCUAAGUGUUAGGGGGUUUCCGCCCCUUAGUGCUGCAGCUAACGCAUUAAGCACUCCGCCUGGGGAGUACGACCGCAAGGUUGAAACUCAAAGGAAUUGACGGGGACCCGCACAAGCGGUGGAGCAUGUGGUUUAAUUCGAAGCAACGCGAAGAACCUUACCAAAUCUUGACAUCCUUUGACAACUCUAGAGAUAGAGCUUUCCCCUUCGGGGGACAAAGUGACAGGUGGUGCAUGGUUGUCGUCAGCUCGUGUCGUGAGAUGUUGGGUUAAGUCCCGCAACGAGCGCAACCCUUAAGCUUAGUUGCCAUCAUUAAGUUGGGCACUCUAAGUUGACUGCCGGUGACAAACCGGAGGAAGGUGGGGAUGACGUCAAAUCAUCAUGCCCCUUAUGAUUUGGGCUACACACGUGCUACAAUGGACAAUACAAAGGGCAGCGAAACCGCGAGGUCAAGCAAAUCCCAUAAAGUUGUUCUCAGUUCGGAUUGUAGUCUGCAACUCGACUACAUGAAGCUGGAAUCGCUAGUAAUCGUAGAUCAGCAUGCUACGGUGAAUACGUUCCCGGGUCU